Molecule: ribosomal RNA, 1357 nt
Filed under: uncultured bacterium
Lineage: Bacteria
Description: bacterial SSU rRNA
Rfam family: Bacterial small subunit ribosomal RNA
Source: RNAcentral
AUUGAACGCUGGCGGCAGGCUUAACACAUGCAAGUCGAGCGGUAACAGGAGAAGCUUGCUUCUUGCUGACGAGCGGCGGACGGGUGAGUAAUACUUAGGAAUCUGCCCAGUAGUGGGGGAUAGCUCGGGGAAACUCGAAUUAAUACCGCAUACACCCUACGGGGAAAAGGGGGCGCUUGCGCUCUCGCUAUUGGAUGAGCCUAAGUCGGAUUAGCUAGUUGGUGGGGUAAAGGCCUACCAAGGCGACGAUCUGUAGCUGGUCUGAGAGGAUGAUCAGCCACACCGGGACUGAGACACGGCCCGGACUCCUACGGGAGGCAGCAGUGGGGAAUAUUGGACAAUGGGGGCAACCCUGAUCCAGCCAUGCCGCGUGUGUGAAGAAGGCCUUUUGGCUGUAAAGCACUUUAAGCAGUGAAGAAGACUCUAUGGUUAAUACCCAUAGACGAUGACAUUAGCUGCAGAAUAAGCACCGGCUAACUCUGUGCCAGCAGCCGCGGUAAUACAGAGGGUGCAAGCGUUAAUUGGAAUUACUGGGCGUAAAGCGAGCGUAGGUGGCUUGAUAAGUCAGAUGUGAAAUCCCCGGGCUUAACCUGGGAACUGCAUCUGAUACUGUUAGGCUAGAGUAGGUGAGAGGGAGGUAGAAUUUCAGGUGUAGCGGUGAAAUGCGUAGAGAUCUGAAGGAAUACCGAUGGCGAAGGCAGCCUCCUGGCAUCAUACUGACACUGAGGUUCGAAAGCGAGGGUAGCAAACAGGAUUAGAUACCCUGGUAGUCCACGCCGUAAACGAUGUCUACUAGUCGUUGGGGAACUUGAUUCCUUAGUGACGCAGCUAACGCAAUAAGUAGACCGCCUGGGGAGUACGGCCGCAAGGUUAAAACUCAAAUGAAUUGACGGGGGCCCGCACAAGCGGUGGAGCAUGUGGUUUAAUUCGAUGCAACGCGAAGAACCUUACCUGGUCUUGACAUAUCUAGAAUCCUGCAGAGAUGCGGGAGUGCCUUCGGGAAUUAGAAUACAGGUGCUGCAUGGCUGUCGUCAGCUCGUGUCGUGAGAUGUUGGGUUAAGUCCCGCAACGAGCGCAACCCUUUUCCUUAGUUACCAGCGGUUUGGCCGGGGACUCUAAGGAUACUGCCAGUGACAAACUGGAGGAAGGCGGGGACGACGUCAAGUCAUCAUGGCCCUUACGACCAGGGCUACACACGUGCUACAAUGGUAGGUACAGAGGGCAGCUACACAGCGAUGUGAUGCGAAUCUCAAAAAGCCUAUCGUAGUCCAGAUUGGAGUCUGCAACUCGACUCCAUGAAGUCGGAAUCGCUAGUAAUCGCGGAUCAGAAUGCCGCGGUGAAUACGUUCCCGGGCCU